Non-coding RNA from Gossypium hirsutum (cotton), 147 nucleotides. The record is from Rfam. Lineage: Eukaryota; Viridiplantae; Streptophyta; Magnoliopsida; Malvales; Malvaceae.
UAUUAAAAAUUUCAUCUGUAUUUUACUAUUAAAACUUGACCUGGCUGGUAAAAAUAACCAAAUAGUUUCACAUGGUAUGCCACGUGUUCCUCAUUUUGAUGUAUAACGACUAAUUUUUAACAAUAGAAAUUGAUGAAAUUUUUAAUA